Dipodomys ordii (Ord's kangaroo rat) is the source of this 681-nucleotide long non-coding RNA. RefSeq lists it as uncharacterized. The transcript is spliced from 2 exons. The record is from RefSeq and is a predicted model, not a curated record. NCBI's taxonomy places the organism in Eukaryota, Metazoa, Chordata, Mammalia, Rodentia, Heteromyidae.
AAAGCAUAUAGUAUGGUUGGACGGAAGGCUUGCUGGGUGACCACAGAGACGUUGGUCAUUCCCCAGAUUGAUGUCCAUCAUGCUAUAAAAGGCCAUUCAAAAAGGAGCUUCAUAUAAAUCAUCCUAUGAAGAUACUGUGUUCUACUGAAACAGUGCAGGGACCAUGUCCUGCCCACCUACAAGGCCAUUCCUGGAGGAUCCUAGAUUGUCAUUUUGAAUUUGCACUAUCUCAGCAGGAGCUAACUCAGAGCAACCACUGCCUUCGUUACCUAAUGGCAGGUAGGCUUUCCAUCUGAGAGAGAGGCAUGAGGGAAGGAAAAAAGAACUGUUAGUUAUAUAGGGAUGAAAGAUGUAGACAUACUUGUGGAAGAUAUAACACAUGGCCCAUCAUGGUGGCACUUCUAGUUUCCACAAUGACUCAGGAUCCUGCUCAAAUGCUUCUUCCCAAAAUGCUCUGACGUCCACUCAACCAAUGAAAAAAGUCAGAGCAGUGCAUGAACAAACCAUCAAGUAAUCAGUGCCAUGCCCAAGGGAGGAAAUAUGGAGGACUCCUGUACUACAAAAACCACAGUCCAGGAGGACUCCAUUGGGUUCCUCUUUGGGGCCCCUCUAUGCAUAGAGUCUUCCUACUUUCCUUUGAUACUUUCUUUUCCCUUUCAGAUAAAUGUGCUUCAUUUGCUU